RNAcentral lists this ribosomal RNA (1284 nucleotides) under Prophantis adusta. RNAcentral describes it as "16S ribosomal RNA". The record is from RNAcentral. Lineage: Eukaryota; Metazoa; Arthropoda; Insecta; Lepidoptera; Crambidae.
ACAAUUAAUAAUUUUAUAAAUAAUAAAAAUAAUUUUAAUAAUAAAAUUGGGGGGUUUUAGUAUUAAUAAAAAAAAAAUUAUAAAAUUUAUAGUGAAUUAGUAUUGUAAAAGAAUUUUUAAAUAAUUAUGAAAAAUAAAAUUUUUAAAAAGUAAAUUUAAUUUAUUGUAUCUUGUGUAUCAGAGUUUAUUAAUUAUUUUAAUAAAAUAUAUUAUUUCUCGAAUUUAAAAGAGAUAAUUAAUUAAUAAAGUUAUUAUUGCAUAAAUAUUUUUAAUAAUUAAUUGGAAAUGAAAUGUUAAUCGUUUUUAAAUAUAUCUAGUUUUUUUAGAAAAAAAUUUAAUUUUUUUUUUUUUUUAUAAAAAAUUAAUUAAUUAAUUUUUUAUAAAAAAAAUAAAAUAUUUUAAGGGAUAAGCUUUAAAUUAAAUUUUUAUAAAUUAAAUUAAUUUUAAUUAAAAUUUUUAAAAUUUAUAUUGUUUAUAAUUUUUAAUUUGUUAUAAAUUAAUUUUAAUUAAAUUAAAAUUUUUUAAUAAUUUAAUUUUUUAUAAAAAAAUAUUUUAUAAUUUAAUAAAAUUAAUUAUAAUGAUAAAAUUAGUAUUUAUUAAUAAAAUUAUGUUAUUUUUAUAUUUUUAUUUAAUUUAAAAGAAUUCGGCAAAAUUUUAUAUUCACUUGUUUAUCAAAAACAUGUCUUUUUGAAAAUAAUUUAAAGUCUAAUCUGCCCACUGAUAUAAUAUUAAAGGGCUGCAGUAUAUUGACUGUACAAAGGUAGCAUAAUCAAUAGUCUCUUAAUUGGUGACUUGUAUGAAAGAUUGGAUGAAAUAUAAACUGUUUCUAAUUUAUUUAAAGAAAUUAAUUUUUAAAUUAAAAAGUUUAAAUAAAAUUAAAAGACGAGAAGACCCUAUAGAGUUUAAUAAAAAUAUUUUUUAAAAUUUUUUAUUAAUUUAAAAAUUAAAAUAAAUUAAUUUAUUUUGUUGGGGUGAAUAAUUUAGUUAACAUAAAUAAAUGAAUUUUUGAUCCAAUUAUUUUGAUUAGAAGAAAAAAUUACCUUAGGGAUAACAGCGUAAUUUUUUUUUUUAGUUCAUAUAAGAAAAAAAGUUUGCGACCUCGAUGUUGGAUUAAGAUAAAAUUUAUAUGCAAAAGUUUAAAAUUUUGAUCUGUUCGAUCAUUAAAAUCUUACAUGAUCUGAGUUCAAACCGGUGUGAGCCAGGUUGGUUUCUAUCUUUAAUAAAAUAAAAUAUUUUAGUACGAAAGGAAUAAAUAUUUGAAUUAAAUUUAUUGUUAAGAAUUUU